GAUGAACGCUGGCGGCGUGCUUAACACAUGCAAGUCGAACGGAGUGCCUUUGAAAGAGGAUUCGUCCAAUUGAUAAGGUUACUUAGUGGCGGACGGGUGAGUAACGCGUGAGGAACCUGCCUUGGAGUGGGGAAUAACACAGUGAAAAUUGUGCUAAUACCGCAUAAUGCAGUUGGGCCGCAUGGCUCUGACUGCCGAAGAUUUAUCGCUCUGAGAUGGCCUCGCGUCUGAUUAGCUAGUUGGUGGGGUAACGGCCCACCAAGGCGACGAUCAGUAGCCGGCCUGAGAGGGUGACCGGGUCACAUUGGGACUGAGACACGGGCCCAAACUCCUACGGGAGGCAGCAGUGGGGAAUCUUCCGCAAUGGGCGCAAGCCUGACGGAGCAACGCCGCGUGAAU
RNAcentral lists this ribosomal RNA (399 nucleotides) under uncultured bacterium. RNAcentral describes it as "bacterial SSU rRNA". It matches the Rfam family "Bacterial small subunit ribosomal RNA", at positions 28 to 406 of the family's 1533-position model. The record is from RNAcentral.